RNAcentral lists this long non-coding RNA (1202 nucleotides) under Nicotiana benthamiana. RNAcentral's name for it is "long non-coding RNA (NBEN_LNC007316)". Lineage: Eukaryota; Viridiplantae; Streptophyta; Magnoliopsida; Solanales; Solanaceae. The record is from RNAcentral.
GUUAUGGUUCCCACCCUAGUGCAAGACAAGUUCUUCUUCCUCCCAUUGAAUCAAGAACUCAAUCAAUCCAUUGUCUUGCAAAUAGGGUGGAAAAUCAUAAGCCAAAUUUUGAUAAUUGUCAUAACAAUUGUGAACCUUUUCAUAUAUUGUUGAGUAUUGUGGAUACAUUCUUGUGGGGACAAAUAUACUUCAAGAAACUUGAAGGAAGGCUAAAGGAGUUCACAACAAAGGACAAUCGAGGCUCAACAUUUCCACAUAUGGAUUCAGGUUAGCUUCCGCUCAUGAAGUUUAUAUAUCCGAAUUAUUCAAUAUGAAGGUAGUUGUCUUUAGUAUGAAUCAUAAUCCUAACAAACAGAUCCACGUGUUUAUCACUUUGAAAAAAAGGCUAACUAACUAAUUUAUUUUUGUUCCUAACAAUGUAUCAAAUUCAAAUUGAACAAAACGAAUCAAAUUAAGAAAAAGUUUCAAGCAAACCACAAAACUAAUAGAAUAGUCAUGCGGCAAUUAUGAUUACCAAACAUUGAUAAAAAGAACACAAAUAGAAUUGUUUUUAAGUCAAAGUAAGGGAUGAACCUCACAGUAAUGGCCUUUUCGAAUAUAGUAAUAGUGCCUGAAUAAGAACCGAGGCCAGAACUUGACCAGAAAACUUUGAUUGAAAUCACACGAGACCGGAACCGUCGAGCCAAGAACGGAAACUUCGUUGUAUAGCUUGAAUGACAACCUUACCUUUUAACUAGAAUCGGGCGCAACUUGAGCAACCUUAAAUACCAUAACAAUAGAGGGUAGAACGUUCUCUGUGUAGAAGAUGAAAGUGGAAAGAGGAGUGGAGUCCGUCGACAGAGAGGCAGUGACUGGUGAGAGGGUGCUUUCUGGCGAUGGCUGCUUUAGUGAGUUGUGAGGUCUGACGGCUUAGGCGACUGCUGCUCUAGAAGCUAGUGGAGAGAGGCUGCUGGUUGGGUUCUUGUGAAAUGGUAGGACAGUUGUGAGGCAAGGUGUGUUCUUUGGAUAUUGCUAGUUUUUUUAGAGGGAGAGGUCGUUGGGCUGAAGUUUAAUAGAUGGAGAGGAGGGAGCGACGGCGGUAGCUGGUUUAGGUUAAGGGAGAUUAAGGUUCUUUGGUGAUGGUUACGGUUGGGGUCUCUUGGGGUGUCUCUAGGCUUUCUUGUGUUAGGGUGUCUAACAAUAAGAAGAGAAAGGGGUCAUAG